Molecule: unclassified non-coding RNA, 253 nt
Filed under: uncultured Bacillaceae bacterium
Lineage: Bacteria; Bacillati; Bacillota; Bacilli; Caryophanales; Bacillaceae
Description: contains 16S-23S intergenic spacer region
Rfam family: Bacterial small subunit ribosomal RNA
Source: RNAcentral
UAUGUAGGUGGCAAGCGUUUUCCGGAAUUAUUGGGCGUAAAGUGCGCGCAGGCGGUCUUUUAAGUCUGAUGUGAAAGCACCCGGCUCAACCGGGGAGGGUCAUUGGAAAGUGGGAGACUUGAGUACAGAAGAGGAGAGUGGAAUUCCACGUGUAGCGGUGAAAUGCGUAGAUAUGUGGAGGAACACCAGUGGCGAUGGCGACUCUCUGGUCUGUAACUGACGCUGAGGCGCGAAAGCGUGGGGAGCAAACAGG